ACAAGUAGGUUUUAUACUUUGAUGAAAUACCUAAACAAGACAAGUGUGUAGAUCUUACUAUUGAAGAAGAGAUGAAAAUUGAAGAAAGAAAACCUGCCAGGGUGACUGUUUAUGAUUACUAUAACACAGAAGAGAGAUAUGAAACAACAUACACCAUCUGAAUAUGAAGCAUCAAAC
This 177-nucleotide long non-coding RNA is filed under the name Eurytemora carolleeae. RNAcentral's name for it is "uncharacterized LOC111705968". The record is from RNAcentral. Lineage: Eukaryota; Metazoa; Arthropoda; Copepoda; Calanoida; Temoridae.